UUNUUUUCCCAAAAGGNAACUGCAAGUCGAGCGAAUGGAUUAAGAGCUUGCUCUUAUGAAGUUAGCGGCGGACGGGUGAGUAACACGUGGGUAACCUGCCCAUAAGACUGGGAUAACUCCGGGAAACCGGGGCUAAUACCGGAUAACAUUUUGAACCGCAUGGUUCGAAAUUGAAAGGCGGCUUCGGCUGUCACUUAUGGAUGGACCCGCGUCACGCAUUAGCUANGUUGGUGAGGUAACGGCUCACCAAGGCAACGAUGCGUAGCCGACCUGAGAGGGUGAUCGGCCACACUGGGACUGAGACACGGCCCAGACUCCUACUGGGAGGCAGCAGUAGGGAAUCUUCCGCAAUGGACGAAAGUCUGACGGAGCAACGCCGCGUGAGUGAUGAAGGCUUUCGGGUCGUAAAACUCUGUUGUUAGGGAAGAACAAGUGCUAGUUGAAUAAGCUGGCACCUUGACGGUACCUAACCAG
Molecule: ribosomal RNA, 474 nt
Filed under: Bacillus cereus
Lineage: Bacteria; Bacillati; Bacillota; Bacilli; Caryophanales; Bacillaceae
Description: bacterial SSU rRNA
Rfam family: Bacterial small subunit ribosomal RNA
Source: RNAcentral